RNAcentral lists this ribosomal RNA (404 nucleotides) under Actinomycetes bacterium. RNAcentral describes it as "Actinobacteria bacterium partial 16S ribosomal RNA". It matches the Rfam family "Bacterial small subunit ribosomal RNA", at positions 355 to 776 of the family's 1533-position model. Lineage: Bacteria; Bacillati; Actinomycetota; Actinomycetes. The record is from RNAcentral.
UGGGGAAUAUUGGACAAUGGGCGCAAGCCUGAUCCAGCCAUGCCGUGUGAGUGAUGAAGGCCCUAGGGUUGUAAAGCUCUUUCACCGGUGAAGAUAAUGACGGUAACCGGAGAAGAAGCCCCGGCUAACUUCGUGCCAGCAGCCGCGGUAAUACGAAGGGGGCUAGCGUUGUUCGGAUUUACUGGGCGUAAAGCGCACGUAGGCGGACUAUUAAGUCAGGGGUGAAAUCCCGGGGCUCAACCCCGGAACUGCCUUUGAUACUGGUAGUCUUGAGUUCGAGAGAGGUGAGUGGAAUUCCGAGUGUAGAGGUGAAAUUCGUAGAUAUUCGGAGGAACACCAGUGGCGAAGGCGGCUCACUGGCUCGAUACUGACGCUGAGGUGCGAAAGCGUGGGGAGCAAACAGG